Molecule: non-coding RNA, 87 nt
Filed under: Sedimentisphaera salicampi
Lineage: Bacteria; Pseudomonadati; Planctomycetota; Phycisphaerae; Sedimentisphaerales; Sedimentisphaeraceae
Source: RNAcentral
CUACUGCGUCCAAGAGGUUGCAGGAUGGGCAUACAGAAGUCAGCCGAAGGCAUAGUAGGUCUGCAAAGUUCGACCAGACUGAAGGCC